Long non-coding RNA from Columba livia (rock pigeon), 1130 nucleotides. RefSeq lists it as uncharacterized. Lineage: Eukaryota; Metazoa; Chordata; Aves; Columbiformes; Columbidae. The record is from RefSeq and is a predicted model, not a curated record. The transcript has 5 exons.
AGAAAUUAUAAAUUUCAGAAGCUUUGCGGUGCAAGUGUACAGCCAAAUUAUUACACCAAGAGCUACAGUAAUCCAUCAACUUCACGGAGUGUAAGCCAGUCAUUUCAUUCUAGGCACAAAUUCCUCGUCGCUGACGUCCCUCCCGCCCCCCUCCCACAAACGCAAUUUCAGCGGGACACCCAGGCUUCCAUGAAAACCACCAGAGGCACCUGCAACUCCUCCAAGUCUAGAUUUGCCCCGACAUUUGCAUUACCAAACUCGUGUAUUUCUACUAACAGUUUGAGGCUGCUGCACUGUUUUCUACACAUUAACUUGCUUUGUAAGAGUUACGGAAUGGGUGGCUCCCAGCGUUCACAAUGCUUUUUCCGCAGCUACGAUGAAGGACCUGCUGUACCUGCACCAUCCUCUUUCCCACAGCACCUCACCGAGACCAUUGUGUCCCUUGAGUCCGCCCCUUUCCAGACUAACCAACAGCAGAUCCUGAGUGCUGUCUUUCCCCUCCCAGAUAACAUCCUCCAGGUCCUGUUCUCUUUGUUCUCCGCUGGCCUCUGCUGUUGGGCGUUUUCCUUCCGAUUCUCAAACCAAACAGGUGUUUCAAGCAUACGCAGAGGUGACCGGGGGAAUCACCUGCAGAGAUCUAAAACAACCACAUUCGGAAAGCACAGACACUUCCGUUCUCUUUCAUAACCGUGCACAGCAAAUCCUUCUGCAGAGCUGAACCCAGCAUGUGAUUCUCUAGAAACUAGAAAACAAAAAGAAAAUCCAAACUGUCUCUGCGCACAAACCCCAGUGAGUAAGAGAAAUCUGAAUCUGCACUUCUGGUUUUCUGAGAGAACAUUCCACCGAGUUUCCUGCUCCUUCCUUCCCCUCCGAGCAGCUUUGGAGGGGCAGCACCAGCCCAGUAUUUCAGGCACUUCACGGAACCUCGGAACAGCCGAGGGAGCUCUGAACUCGAGUGCGCUGCUCGAAGCGCCGCAGACGCCGCAGGAACCUCCGGGCGCCGGCCGGCCCGGUUCUGGGUGCUGCAGAGGAUGAGGACGCCAAAACCUCCCAAGGGAACGCGUCCCAGCAUCUCGCUGCUCUCACGGUAGGAGAUUUAAACCAUUAGUUAGCAUUCACUUGCCUUACCG